UACGGAGGGUGCAAACGUUGCUCGGAAUCAUUGGGCGUAAAGCGCACGUAGGCGGCUAGAUAAGUCGGGUGUGAAAGCCCUGGGCUCAACCCAGGAAGUGCAUUCGAAACUGUCUAGCUUGAAUCUCGGAGGGGGUCAGAGAAUUCCCGGUGUAGAGGUGAAAUUCGUAGAUAUCGGGAGGAAUACCAGUGGCGAAGGCGCUGACCUGGACGAAGAUUGACGCUGAGGUGACGAAAGCGCGGGGAGCAAACAGGGAUU
Molecule: ribosomal RNA, 258 nt
Filed under: uncultured bacterium
Lineage: Bacteria
Description: partial 16S ribosomal RNA
Rfam family: Bacterial small subunit ribosomal RNA
Source: RNAcentral